Molecule: small RNA, 93 nt
Filed under: Pedobacter alluvionis
Lineage: Bacteria; Pseudomonadati; Bacteroidota; Sphingobacteriia; Sphingobacteriales; Sphingobacteriaceae
Description: Flavo-1 RNA
Rfam family: Flavo-1 RNA
Source: RNAcentral
UUCUAAACCGGAUUGCAGGGGAGAUCCUUUUUUGAGGCCAUGAGCAGUGGGGCAGGAGGACAAAAAAGAUCGCAUCGAAAAGCCGGAGUAACA